UCAUGGGCGCGAGCCUGACCAGCCNAGUAGCGUGAAGGAUGAAGGCUCUACNNNGUCGUAAACUUCUUUUAUAUGGGAAUAAAGUAUUCCACGUGNGGAAUUUUGUAUGUACCAUAUGAAUAAGGAUCGGCUAACUCCGUGCCAGCAGCCGCGGUAAUACGGAGGAUCCGAGCGUUAUCCGGAUUUAUUGGGUUUAAAGGGAGCGUAGGUGGAUUGUUAAGUCAGUUGUGAAAGUUUGCGGCUCAACCGUAAAAUUGCAGUUGAAACUGGCAGUCUUGAGUACAGUAGAGGUGGGCGGAAUUCGUGGUGUAGCGGUGAAAUGCUUAGAUAUCACGAAGAACUCCGAUUGCGAAGGCAGCUCACUAGACUGUUACUGACACUGAUGCUCGAAAGUGUGGGUAUCAAACAGGAUUAGAUACCCUGGUAGUCCAAGGGCGAAUUC
This 442-nucleotide ribosomal RNA is filed under the name uncultured bacterium. Its description in RNAcentral is "SSU rRNA". It matches the Rfam family "Bacterial small subunit ribosomal RNA", at positions 369 to 808 of the family's 1533-position model. The record is from RNAcentral.